GAGCAUCCUCAGUAAACCCCCUAGUUUCUAUGCUUGGCCUCUGGGAAAAUGAAGGAUGCAAGAUCAAGCUUAGAGUCAUCCAAAGCUGGGGGCCUUGUGUCAGUUGCCCUCGGUUAUUUCAGCUCUCAGACAGGC
Small nucleolar RNA from Lampris incognitus (smalleye Pacific opah), 135 nucleotides. RefSeq annotates it as small nucleolar RNA SNORA14. The record is from RefSeq and is a predicted model, not a curated record. NCBI's taxonomy places the organism in Eukaryota, Metazoa, Chordata, Actinopteri, Lampriformes, Lampridae. The transcript has a single exon.